Molecule: small RNA, 865 nt
Filed under: Histoplasma capsulatum
Lineage: Eukaryota; Fungi; Ascomycota; Eurotiomycetes; Onygenales; Ajellomycetaceae
Also listed under: 1 other name
Description: hypothetical RNA
Source: RNAcentral
CCUCUUCUUUUUACACCUGCAGACUUGUGAAAAAGUCACAGAAUGGUUUUUUCUUCUUAAAGACAAUGAUUGUGAUCUUGCUAUCAUCAAGUUAUAUACACUCUCCUCUCACAUCCUCCAUCUGUCAACUUUCCACUGUAGUCUCAAGUCUACAGAAAUAUGCUAGUAUCAUUGCUUUCAUGUUUGAACUUUUAGUGAUGUUAGUGGAAACUUUCCCCUUACUUUCCUAGGCUUACUGUGUAAGGGGAAAAAAAAAGAAAAAUUGCACAAAAUCCAUCCGCCAAGUAUUGAUUGAUCGACCACUACCCUUACUUUCCUAGGCUUACUGUGUAAGGGGAAAAAAAAAGAAAAAUUGCACAAAAUCCAUCCGCCAAGUAUUGAUUGAUCGACCACUAACUAGGACCCUUGGCACAUCAGUGUGAUCCUCGCGUCCACUAUCGGCCCCUCUCUAAAGAGUUGAUACCAGGCUCGUAUUGUGUGCGGUUUCGUGAAUGAAAUCGUAACACAACAUAUAGGAAUGUCCCGAGGACCAAUAAUAAAUCGAAAAUAAGCGUUAUUUGCAGUUUUUCUUGGUGAUACAAAUGAACAAUUUUAUCAAUCAAUCACCGAUCAGCCAAAAUUGUUAGGAAUAACAAAUUAAUUACAGAUCAUGUGGUGACCAUUUCGUGAAUAUAUAUAUAUAUAUAUGUCAAUAAUAAGCACGGAUUUUAUUAGCUUCGAACAUCCAUUUCCAGGCUAACAUUGUUAUUGGGAGUCAAAGCAGUUCAUCCUGCGCUAGAUACGCUGGAAAUGGCUUAAUCGUACAAGCAAGAAUCGGUGACUUGCUAUUCUUCAUUAUAUGGGCCAUGGUCAAAAUCAUACAGCC